Molecule: ribosomal RNA, 557 nt
Filed under: Phaneroptera falcata (sickle-bearing bush cricket)
Lineage: Eukaryota; Metazoa; Arthropoda; Insecta; Orthoptera; Tettigoniidae
Description: SSU rRNA
Rfam family: Eukaryotic small subunit ribosomal RNA
Source: RNAcentral
AUGAUUCGUGGGACGUCCUGCCGGUGGUGGCGAGUCGAAGGCGUGCACCCGUUGUGGUUUCCACUUCGGUUCUUGCGCGCCGGAGGCGGACCCCGAUGAAAUCCUACCGCGGUGCUCUUCGCCGAGUGUCGAGGUGGGCCGGCACGUUUACUUUGAACAAAUUAGAGUGCUUAAAGCAGGCCUGUUGCGCCUGAAUACUGUGUGCAUGGAAUAAUGGAAUAGGACCUCGGUUCUAUUUUGUUGGUUUUCGGAACCCGAGGUAAUGAUUAAUAGGGACAGGCGGGGGCAUUCGUAUUGCGACGUUAGAGGUGAAAUUCUUGGAUCGUCGCAAGACGGACCGAAGCGAAAGCAUUUGCCAAGUAUGUUUUCAUUAAUCAAGAACGAAAGUUAGAGGUUCGAAAGGCGAUCAGAUACCGCCCUAGUUCUAACCAUAAACGAUGCCAGCUAGCGAUCCGCCGAAGUUCCUCCGAUGACUCGGCGGGCAGCUCCCGGAAACCAAGCUUUUGGGUUCCGGGGAAGUAUGGUGCAAAGCUGAGACUUAAGGAAUUGACGGAAGG